RNAcentral lists this unclassified non-coding RNA (1607 nucleotides) under Hevea brasiliensis (rubber tree). The record is from RNAcentral. Lineage: Eukaryota; Viridiplantae; Streptophyta; Magnoliopsida; Malpighiales; Euphorbiaceae.
AAAAACCCUGAGAAACAAAUCUCCAACAUUCUAUUUCCAGGUUUAUUCAUUAUUCAUCGACCUAGAGUAUUAUUUCACAAGAAGAGUUACAAAUACAAAAGUAUAACUUACCGCAAAACUCACUGAACAAGAAGAACUUCAGCAACAUAAUUAGAACGAGACAUAAGAAUAACAAAUGGGCAAUUAAAGAUUCCAUAAAUUUCUUUUUUUGAACCGAUAAAAUCCGUGAUCAUAUCGGAUGUAUCAGAAUCAAUUUACAUUAUAGAAGGAAAAAAUAACUUAAAUUAGCUAUUAUAUACAACUGAAAAUUUCAACAAUGCAGGUCAAAAGCAUAUGGUUCAAUCAUCCCGCAGGCAAAAUGAAACUAAGGAACACUACCUCAAAUCCUUGUAGAAGAUGAAUCAAAAUCAUCAGGAGCAACCCGAGCAAUCCAGUUGCUGAGAGUUCGCUUAAUAUCAGAGUGUUUAACAUAAGCCAACUCAUACAUACUACACAAAUUCACUACAAGCGUCUCAUUCAAAGCCACAGUGGGUACUCACUCAAGCGAAUUCUCGAACACCUUAAUUGAAUCAGACAAAGCCCUCAAGUACAUCAAGCAGAGAGCUUUGUUAUUAAUGGCAACAACAUCCAUAGGAUCUCUCUCAAUGCACUCCUCGUAUUCCCUCACUGCAGACACAUAAUCCUUCCCAACCAAACACACUAACGCCUUGUUCCUAUUCACCUAAUUCCUGAACUCAAUCUCAAUCAACAACUCAUCAUCACACCCACCAUUUCGCUCAUUCAACAAUUUCUCAACCUUAUCGAAUGAACGCUUUGCCCCCUCCAAAUCCCCAAUUUGCAUCUGUAUAUACCCUAAUUUUGACAAUAAAACAGGAUCCAAAUUCCCACGAGAAAACAAAUCUUUAAUCAAAUCCAAACAAACACCAAAUUCUUUAUUCCCCAAAUGCUCACUAAUUAUUAAAUUCAUAACAAAAACCUCUCUUUUUCUCCACAUUUUAAUUAAAAUAUCAUGAUCUUGUUUUUCCUUUAGUUUUCCACGAACAAAAUCGAGCAAUAUAUAAAACCGAUCUAAUCCUUCUUGGUGGUUACCUGAUUUUAUCGGAAUCAGUGCAUGAAGCCACCGGAGAGAGAAUGGGACCACAAAACCGGACCGAUUCGGGUAGAUUUUCGAAUACGUUUCGUAACGGUAAUGGUGGCAAUCGAAAUCAUCGACGGAAUCGAGCUCCGUGAUAGCGUCCUUGAAACGGCGUAGUUUGGCAAGACCAAGGACGUUGCAGGCGAGGUAGAUAAGAUGGUCAUAAGGUGUGUUAAGGAGAUAAUGAGAGCGGGCACGACGGACCUUGUCGAGAAUGGAGUGCCAGCUGCCGCGGUUCGCAAGGUCCUGGAGAGAGGCGAGCUCGUGGGCGAGGUCAUUUAGGGGAGCGAAUUGGCUUGUUAGAGGAUCUGCGGACAGCGAGACGGGUUCGGGUUGAAAAUCGGGUGUGUCAGAGUCCAUGGUCGGCAGUGGAAGGUUGAUGCGCGUCGCCUGAGUCACCAGAGAGGCUGCGAGUGCAAUUGUGGACUGUGGAUAGCUUGGGAAAGCAGGCUCCGUAUUUGGUGGCCCUGGU